GGCCACAUAUUGUAUUACUCUGUGCACUGAUAUUUAAGGCCUACUGAAAUGAGAUUUUCUUAUUUAAACGGGGAUAGCAGGUCCAUUCCAUGUGUCAUACUUGAUCAUUUCGCGAUAUUGCCAUAUUUUUGCUGAAAGGAUUUAGUAGAGAACAUCGACGAUAAAGUUCGCAACUUUUGGUGCUGAUAAAAAAGCCUCGCCUUUUCCGUAAGUCGCAGACGAUGACGUCACAAGGGUGAGGGCUCCUCACGUCCUCACAUUGUUUUUAAUGGGAGCCUCCAGCAGCAAGAGCUAUUUGGACCGAGAAAACGACAAUUUCCCCAUUAAUUUGAGAGAGGAUGAAAGAUUUGUGGAUGGUGAUAUUAAUAGCAAAGGACUAGAAAAAAAUUAAAAUAAUAAAAUAAGAAGCGACGGCUCCGGGCGGCGGCAGUGUGAGCGUUUCAGAUGUGAUUAGACACAUUUACUAGGAUAAUUCUGGAAGAUCCCUUUUAAUAGUGUUUUAGUGAGAUUGUAAAGACAUACCUCGAGGUCGGAUGACUGCGGUGAACACGCAGUUUCUCAGAGAGAAGCCGAGGAGCCAAGCUCACAGCUGCCUUUUAAACAGCUACUGCAGGAGGACGAAUAAUCCAAUGAUGUCUCCGGCAGUCGUCUUCAUAAAUCUCAUAAGAAUAACACCAAACAGAAGUUACAACAUCUUCACCUUGCCACACUGCGAGUCAGGAUUCAUAAAUGAAUAUGACUUCCAUUCAUACUUGCCAACCGUCCAGGAUUUUCCGGGAGACUCCCGAAAUUCAGCGCCUCACCCGAAAAACCUCCGGAAAUUCAGCCGGAGCUGGAGGCCACGCCCCCUCCAGCGCCUUGCGGACCUGAGUGGGGACAGCCUGUUUUGACGUCCGCUUUCCCACUGUAUAAACAGCUUGCCUGCCCAAUCACGUUACAACAUCUAGGGAUUUGAGUGAUUCUAUGUUGUCUGUUGCCAUCUCCUGGUGAAUGUUGGGGUUGCUUUUUGAUUGGCCAACGAUUUACAUGGUGUUGGGCACCUGACGGCAAGUGAGGGAGUCUGCUCUGAAGCCCACAGUAAAGAGACGUAACUUCA
Nerophis ophidion (straightnose pipefish) is the source of this 1096-nucleotide long non-coding RNA. RefSeq lists it as uncharacterized. The transcript has 2 exons. The record is from RefSeq and is a predicted model, not a curated record. NCBI's taxonomy places the organism in Eukaryota, Metazoa, Chordata, Actinopteri, Syngnathiformes, Syngnathidae.